This 564-nucleotide ribosomal RNA is filed under the name uncultured bacterium. Its description in RNAcentral is "partial 16S ribosomal RNA". It matches the Rfam family "Bacterial small subunit ribosomal RNA", at positions 355 to 939 of the family's 1533-position model. The record is from RNAcentral.
UGGGGAAUAUCGCACAAUGGGCGAAAGCCUGAUGCAGCAACGCAGCGUGAGUGAUGAAGGCCUUCGGGUUGUAAAGCUCUGUCUUUUGGGACGAUAAUGACGGUACCAAAGGAGGAAGCCACGGCUAACUACGUGCCAGCAGCCGCGGUAAUACGUAGGUGGCAAGCGUUGUCCGGAUUUACUGGGCGUAAAGGAUGCGUAGGCGGAUUUUUAAGUGAGAUGUGAAAACCCUAAGCUUAACUUGGGGACUGCAUUUCAUACUGGAAAUCUAGAGUGCGGGAGAGGAGAAUGGAAUUCCUAGUGUAGCGGUGAAAUGCGUAGAGAUUAGGAAGAACACCAGUGGCGAAGGCGAUUCUCUGGACCGUAACUGACGCUGAGGCAUGAAAGCGUGGGUAGCAAACAGGAUUAGAUACCCUGGUAGUCCACGCCGUAAACGAUGAGUACUAGGUGUAGGAGGUAUCGACCCCUUCUGUGCCGCAGUUAACACAAUAAGUACUCCGCCUGGGAAGUACGAUCGCAAGAUUAAAACUCAAAUGAAUUGACGGGGGUCAUAGCUGUUUUCCU